CCGCGCGAGGAUGGGGCUGCGUCCCAUCAGGCAGUUGGUGGGGUAAUGGCCCACCAAACCUAUAACGGGUACGGGCCGUGAGAGAGGGAGCCCGGAGAUGGGUUCUGAGACACGAACCCAGGCCCUACGGGGCGCAGCAGGCGCGAAACCUUCGCACUGCGCGAAAGCGCGACGAGGGGAGCCCGAGUGCCUCUCCAUUUCGGGGAGGCUUUUCACAAGCCUAAAAAGCUUGUGGAAUAAGGGCUGGGCAAGACGGGUGCCAGCCGCCGCGGUAAUACCCGCAGCUCGAGUGGUGGUCGCUUUUAUUGAGCCUAAAACGUUCGUAGUCGGCCUUGUAAAUCCCUGGGUAAAUCGGACCGCUUAACGGUUCGAAUUCCGGGGAGACUGCAAGGCUAGGGACCGGGCGAGGUCAGAGGUACUUUCGGGGUAGGAGUGAAAUCCUGUAAUCCCGAAGGGACCACCUGUGGCGAAAGCGUCUGACUUGAACGGCUCCGACGAUGAGGAACGAAGGCUAGGGGAGCAAACCGGAUUAGAUACCCGGGUAGUCCUAGCUGUAAACUCUGCCCGCUUGGUGUGGCCUGUCCUUCGGGGGCAGGCUGUGCCGGAGCGAAGGUGUUAAGCGGGCUGCUUGGGGAGUACGGCCGCAAGGUUGAAACUUAAAGGAAUUGGCGGGGGAGCACCGCAACGGGAGGAUGCGUGCGGUUUAA
Molecule: ribosomal RNA, 707 nt
Filed under: uncultured Thermoplasmatales archaeon
Lineage: Archaea; Methanobacteriati; Thermoplasmatota; Thermoplasmata; Thermoplasmatales
Description: bacterial SSU rRNA
Rfam family: Archaeal small subunit ribosomal RNA
Source: RNAcentral